GACGAACGCUGGCGACGUGCUUAACACAUGCAAGUCGAACGGAAAGGCCCUGCUUUUGUGGGGUGCUCGAGUGGCGAACGGGUGAGUAACACGUGAGUAACCUGCCCUUGACUUUGGGAUAACUUCAGGAAACUGGGGCUAAUACCGGAUAGGAGCUCCUGCUGCAUGGUGGGGGUUGGAAAGUUUCGGCGGUUGGGGAUGGACUCGCGGCUUAUCAGCUUGUUGGUGGGGUAGUGGCUUACCAAGGCUUUGACGGGUAGCCGGCCUGAGAGGGUGACCGGCCACAUUGGGACUGAGAUACGGCCCAGACUCCUACGGGAGGCAGCAGUGGGGAAUAUUGCACAAUGGGCGGAAGCCUGAUGCAGCAACGCCGCGUGCGGGAUGACGGCCUUCGGGUUAUAAACCGCUUUCGCCUGUGACGAAGCGUGAGUGACGGUAAUGGGUAAAGAAGCACCGGCUAACUACGUG
This 468-nucleotide ribosomal RNA is filed under the name uncultured bacterium. Its description in RNAcentral is "partial 16S ribosomal RNA". It matches the Rfam family "Bacterial small subunit ribosomal RNA", at positions 28 to 507 of the family's 1533-position model. The record is from RNAcentral.